Molecule: ribosomal RNA, 279 nt
Filed under: uncultured bacterium
Lineage: Bacteria
Description: partial 16S ribosomal RNA
Rfam family: Bacterial small subunit ribosomal RNA
Source: RNAcentral
UGCCAGCCGCCGCGGUAAUACGUAGGGUGCAAGCGUUGUCCGGAAUUACUGGGUUUAAAGGGUACGUAGGUGGGCGUCUAAGUCUGGAGUGAAAGUUUGAGGCUCAACCUCGAAAGUGCUUUGGAUACUGGGCGUCUAGAAUUAGAUAUAGGUAGCUGGAAUUUGUGGUGUAGCGGUGAAAUGCAUAGAUACCACGAGGAACACCAAUUGCGAAGGCAGGCUACUGGGUCUAUAUUGACACUGAUGUACGAAAGUGUGGGUAGCGAACAGGAUUAGAUA